RNAcentral lists this non-coding RNA (32 nucleotides) under Mus musculus (house mouse). The record is from RNAcentral. Lineage: Eukaryota; Metazoa; Chordata; Mammalia; Rodentia; Muridae.
UGAGGAUACUUGGACAGGUGCUUUCUGAAUGU